AGCGAACGCUGGCGGCAGGCCUAAUACAUGCAAGUCGAACGGCUCUUCGGAGCAGUGGCGGACGGGUGAGUAACGCGUGGGAAUAUGCCCUUUGGUACGGAACAACCCAGGGAAACUUGGGCUAAUACCGUAUGUGCCCUUCGGGGGAAAGCGGGGGAUCGUAAGACCUCGCGUUAUUGGAGCGGCCGAUGCCGGAUUAG
Molecule: ribosomal RNA, 200 nt
Filed under: uncultured bacterium
Lineage: Bacteria
Description: partial 16S ribosomal RNA
Rfam family: Bacterial small subunit ribosomal RNA
Source: RNAcentral